AUUGUCGGAGCACGUGGCGGUUGUGGAUUGGGCUACGUGGACUGGCGAGAGCUAGUCUCGCGGCGGAGACGCGGAGUGGCCGUUUUUAACCGUUUCCUCCUAUGUGGGAUUUUAGCUCGUUUUUUCCUACUCUCCCGGUGAUUCGAAGAACCUAAUUACCGUGGUUUCAUCGGUUAUUUCUUUUUUUCGCGAAGAAUAUGUUGAUUUCUUCUGAAUUAUCUAGCUCUCACUUGCUGAAGAUUUGAUUCGAGUAGCAGGAUGAUUAAGCUCAAUCUAGACCACUCGAAGGGAACGGAAUGAUUGAUCAGCGAAUCUACGAGUGUCUAAAAUUCUCAGAUCAGGGACAGAUUGCUGCUGCUACAGCACGUACUCCGGAUUGAGAACAAGAUUCAGAAAAUCUGAACAACACGUUGCAUUCAUUGGAGCCAUGGAAACGAUGAACCAAUCAAUCAGAGUAAGGUUCUGGGAGGAGCUGCAGAUUGGGAGCCUGAAACUCAGCCGCGUGGAAGCCCGCCCGGGAGGAGAGGGAGAGGACCAGAUUGUUCAGAUACAUCGCCAUCGUCGUCGUCGCAUGUUCAGACUGUUCUAGAAUCUGAAUCUGAACUCCAUUUCAUACUUGCCCCUGCUCUCCCCCCAUGCGGUCCUGAUGGAAAGAUCGAAGGCUAUAGUUUGGGCAAGACGACGAGAUCUUGCAGAAGGCCAAUUUAUGGGUUUUUUUUUUUACUUUAUUCACCCAGCAGGUUCAGUGAUAUCACGAACCACAAAGCCAUUUACAAAUUCUGGGAGAGGGUCUAUUUUGGUUUGAUGCCAAAAUGUGGUCUACUAAAUCGGGAGAAUAUAGACUAUUUACCAUUAAAUUCGCGUGCCUUAACUUUUUUUACCACCCAAUCCGCAUACCCCUUUAUAAUAUAUCAUUAGGACUGCUAAUUAGUCUAUUUGGUACCACUUUCAGGUUUUUUACUGUGUUUCUCAUUUCUUAAUUCCAUUUGCAUAUUUUUUCAAGAUUUGUGGACGUUUUUGCCCCUAGGCCCACCCGUCAGAACCAAAGAGAGAUAUUUCUCUCUAGAUCGAUCGAUCCCUCCAGUCUCGUCACCGUGAGCACCAACCUCGCCGCCGGGCACCGCCAACCCCGCCGCCGAGCACCCCCACUCCGCCGCCCAAUGCCGCCGCAGCUAGCCGCCGUCGCCACUCGCCCAUGCCCGGCCACCACCGAGCGCCGCCCCCAGGUCGCCGCCCCCGAGCGCCGUGCCACCACCCCGCGGAAGGGGAGGCGCCGAUGCUGGUGCCGCCUCCAGACGUGCAGCUCAUCUGGCUCUACCACUGCUUCCACCAUGUGAGAGCUUUACCUGCCACCUUGGUCGCUUCACUAAAUCUUCUGAACUGAGAAACUAACCUUGUUUAAUCAAUAUAUAGUGUUUGUGCCCAAUGUCAUUUACUAAUUGUGUUUGUGCACGGGGGAGCUGCUCGGCCUGGGCGGCGGCUCCAGGCACGGGGGAGGCGCUUGGCCUGGGCAGCGGCGCCAGGCCUGGGUGAUGAUGCGGCGGCGGGGUGAUGGCGCGGCGUUUGGGGGCGGCGCUCGGUGGUGAGGCGGCAAGCUGAGGUGAGUGGCGGCGGCGGGGUUGGCGGCGAACGGAUGAGACUGGAGGGAUCGAUCGAUCCAGAGAGAAAUAUCUCUCUUUGGUUAUGACAGGUGUAUUUGAGACGCCUGGUUUACGGCAGAGAGGAUUGCUUCAGGAAGCAAACCCGGGCUGCUGCCUCACGCCAUUGCUUUGCUUCAAGAGGGCGUAUGGUAUCUACGUAGAUAAAUCAUAAAUGGUUGUAUUUAUCUCGUCGUAAUUAAUGGGUGAAAUUGGAAUCUCUACUUGUUUAGGUACUUCAGCUAAAAGAUGGAAAAAAUUCUUUCGUAAAAAAAAAUGAUUUACAGAAAUGCACAGUACAGCGUGUGUUCUAGCUACCUGCUUUGAGCCUGAGGCCCCCGUUGUUCGGCUUAUUGAUGGAAUAAGACAAACGGCAUAUUUAUAAAUGAAAGAUAAUUUGUGAAUAGAAA
Oryza sativa Japonica Group (Japanese rice) is the source of this 2047-nucleotide non-coding RNA. The record is from RefSeq and is a predicted model, not a curated record. Lineage: Eukaryota; Viridiplantae; Streptophyta; Magnoliopsida; Poales; Poaceae.